UACAGAGGGUGCAAGCGUUAAUCGGAAUUACUGGGCGUAAAGCGCACGUAGGUGGUCAAAUCAGUUGGGUGUGAAAUCCCUGGGCUCAACCUGGGAACUGCACCCGAUACUGGAAGGCUAGAGUGCGAGAGAGGGAGGUAGAAUUCCAUGUGUAGCGGUGAAAUGCGUAGAUAUAUGGAGGAAUACCAGUGGCGAAGGCGGCCUCCUGGCUCGACACUGACGCUGAGGUGCGAAAGCGUGGGGAGCGAACAGG
This 253-nucleotide ribosomal RNA is filed under the name uncultured bacterium. RNAcentral describes it as "partial 16S ribosomal RNA". It matches the Rfam family "Bacterial small subunit ribosomal RNA", at positions 524 to 776 of the family's 1533-position model. The record is from RNAcentral.